AUGGCGCAUUAGUUAGUUGGUGGGGUAACGGCCUACCAAGACGAUGAUGCGUAGCCGACCUGAGAGGGUGACCGGCCACACUGGGACUGAGACACGGCCCAGACUCCUACGGGAGGCAGCAGUAGGGAAUUUUCGGCAAUGGGCGCAAGCCUGACCGAGCAACGCCGCGUGAGUGAUUAAGGCCUUCGGGUUGUAAAGCUCUGUUGUAAGGGAAGAACAUUCAAGAUAGGAAAUGAUCUUGAACUGACGGUACCUUACCAGAAAGCCACGGCUAACUACGUGCCAGCAGCCGCGGUAAUACGUAGGUGGCAAGCGUUAUCCGGAAUUAUUGGGCGUAAAGGGUGCGUAGGCGGUUUAUUAAGUCUAUGGUGAAAGUGCGGGGCUCAACCCCGUACGGCCAUAGAAACUGGUAGACUUGAGUGCAGGAGAGGGCAAUGGAAUUCCAUGUGUAGCGGUAAAAUGCGUAGAUAUAUGGAGGAACACCAGUGGCGAAGGCGGUUGCCUGGCCUGUAACUGACGCUGAAGCACGAAAGCGUGGGGAGCAAAUAGGAUUAGAUACCCUAGUAGUCCACGCCGUAAACGAGGAAUACUAAGUGUUGGAGAAAUUCAGUGCUGCAGUUAACGCAAUAAGUAUUCCGCCUGGGGAGUAUGCACGCAAGUGUGAAACUCAAAGGAAUUGACGGGACCCCGCACAAGCGGUGGAUUAUGUUGUUUAAUUCGACGCAACGCGAAGAACCUUACCAGGCCUUGACAUACUCAGCAAAGCCCUAGAGAUAGGGUGGAGGUUAUCUGGGAUACAGGUGGUGCAUGGUUGUCGUCAGCUCGUGUCGUGAGAUGUUGGGUUAAGUCCCGCAACGAGCGCAACCCUUGUCUUCAGUUACCAUCAUUCAGUUGGGGACUCUAGAGAGACUGCCGGUGAUAAACCGGAGGAAGGUGGGGAUGACGUCAAAUCAUCAUGCCCCUUAUGGCCUGGGCUACAAACGUAAUACAAUGGCGUAUACAAAGGGAUGCGAAAGGGCGACCUGGAGCAAAACUCAUAAAGUACGUCUCAGUUCAGAUUGGAGUCUGCAACUCGACUCCAUGAAGGCGGAAUCGCUAGUAAUCGCGGAUCAGCAUGCCGCGGUGAAUACGUUCUCGGGGUUUACACUCACCGCCCGUCAA
RNAcentral lists this ribosomal RNA (1161 nucleotides) under uncultured bacterium. Its description in RNAcentral is "bacterial SSU rRNA". It matches the Rfam family "Bacterial small subunit ribosomal RNA", at positions 233 to 1400 of the family's 1533-position model. The record is from RNAcentral.